This 289-nucleotide long non-coding RNA is filed under the name Gallus gallus (chicken). RNAcentral's name for it is "lncRNA (ENSGALG00010017222.1)". The record is from RNAcentral. Lineage: Eukaryota; Metazoa; Chordata; Aves; Galliformes; Phasianidae.
UGUCUGUUUCUCACAGCACAAGAUGUGGCAUGAUUGCUUUCUGGCGUCUGCAGUUUGUUGUGAACUACUCUGCAGUCUGCAGCCCAGCCAGAACCGGGAGGGACACCCCACGUUUUGCCUGACGCCUUUUCCUUCCAAGGCUGGAGCUGCCUCAGUCUAGCUGCUGGCUGUCCCGCUGUGAAAAAGGGCCUUUUUUUUCCACUCUUCACAGCCACCUCAAGGUGUUGAAUGCUCCGUGUGUACACACAAGUGGUCAAAACUUGUUUUCACAGAUGUUGGUACUUAAAUU